Molecule: ribosomal RNA, 445 nt
Filed under: uncultured bacterium
Lineage: Bacteria
Description: bacterial SSU rRNA
Rfam family: Bacterial small subunit ribosomal RNA
Source: RNAcentral
CUCCUACGGGAGGCAGCAGUGAGGAAUAUUGGUCAAUGGGCGGGAGCCUGAACCAGCCAAGUCGCGUGAAGGAAGAAGGAUCUAUGGUUCGUAAACUUCUUUUGCAGGGGAAUAAAGUGCGGGACGUGUCCUGUUUUGUAUGUACCCUGAGAAUAAGGAUCGGCUAACUCCGUGCCAGCAGCCGCGGUAAUACGGAGGAUCCGAGCGUUAUCCGGAUUUAUUGGGUUUAAAGGGUGCGUAGGUGGUUUGAUAAGUCAGCGGUGAAAGUUUGCAGCUUAACUGUAAAAAUGCCGUUGAAACUGUCGGACUUGAGUGUAAAUGAGGUAGGCGGAAUGCGUGGUGUAGCGGUGAAAUGCAUAGAUAUCACGCAGAACUCCGAUUGCGAAGGCAGCUUACUAAGCUACAACUGACACUGAAGCACGAAAGCGUGGGGAUCAAACAGGAU